RNAcentral lists this ribosomal RNA (308 nucleotides) under uncultured eukaryote. Its description in RNAcentral is "partial 18S ribosomal RNA". It matches the Rfam family "Eukaryotic small subunit ribosomal RNA", at positions 1470 to 1796 of the family's 1831-position model. The record is from RNAcentral.
CCCUUAGAUGUUCUGGGCCGCACGCGCGCUACACUGACGAUGGCAACGAGUUUUUCCUUCGCCGAAAGGUGUGGGUAAUCUUUUGAAACAUCGUCGUGCUGGGGAUAGAUCAUUGCAAUUUUUGAUCUUGAACGAGGAAUUCCUAGUAAGCGCGAGUCAUCAGCUUGCGUUGAUUACGUCCCUGCCCUUUGUACACACCGCCCGUCGCUACUACCGAUUGAAUGGUUUAGUGAGGCCUUCGGAUCCGCGACUCGUUUGUGGAGAAGUUGGACAAACUCAGUCAUUUAGAGGAAGUAAAAGUCGUAACA